RNAcentral lists this ribosomal RNA (164 nucleotides) under uncultured bacterium. Its description in RNAcentral is "partial 16S ribosomal RNA". It matches the Rfam family "Bacterial small subunit ribosomal RNA", at positions 355 to 511 of the family's 1533-position model. The record is from RNAcentral.
UAGGGAAUCUUCCACAAUGGACGCAAGUCUGAUGGAGCAACGCCGCGUGUGUGAUGAAGGGUUUCGGCUCGUAAAACACUGUUGUAAGAGAAGAAUGACAUUGAGAGUAACUGUUCAAUGUGUGACGGUAUCUUACCAGAAAGGAACGGCUAAAUACGUGCCAG